UGGGGAAUAUCGGACAAUGGGCGAAAGCCUGAUCCAGCCAUGCCGCGUGUGUGAAGAAGGUCUUCGGAUUGUAAAGCACUUUCAGUUGGGAGGAAGGGCAUUAACCUAAUACGUUAGUGUUUUGACGUUACCGACAGAAUAAGCACCGGCUAACUCUGUGCCAGCAGCCGCGGUAAUACAGAGGGUGCAAGCGUUAAUCGGAAUUACUGGGCGUAAAGCGCGCGUAGGUGGUUUGUUAAGUUGGAUGUGAAAUCCCCGGGCUCAACCUGGGAACUGCAUUCAAAACUGACUGACUAGAGUAUGGUAGAGGGUGGUGGAAUUUCCUGUGUAGCGGUGAAAUGCGUAGAUAUAGGAAGGAACACCAGUGGCGAAGGCGACCACCUGGACUAAUACUGACACUGAGGUGCGAAAGCGUGGGGAGCAAACA
Molecule: ribosomal RNA, 427 nt
Filed under: uncultured bacterium
Lineage: Bacteria
Description: partial 16S ribosomal RNA
Rfam family: Bacterial small subunit ribosomal RNA
Source: RNAcentral